Molecule: ribosomal RNA, 1466 nt
Filed under: metagenome
Description: bacterial SSU rRNA
Rfam family: Bacterial small subunit ribosomal RNA
Source: RNAcentral
CGAGUUUGAUCCUGGCUCAGGACGAACGCUGGCGGCGCGCCUUACGCAUGCAAGUCGAACGGAGUUGGCUUCGGCCAAUUCAGUGGCAGACGGGUGAGUAACACGUAAGCGACCUAUCCGUGAGUGGGGAAUAACUCCUCGAAAGGGGAGCUAAUACCGCAUACGUUCCUUCUUUUGAUAGGAGGAGGAAAGCCUGUGAAGGCGCUCACGGAGGGGCUUGCGGCCCAUCAGCUAGUUGGCGGGGUAACGGCCCACCAAGGCGACGACGGGUAGCUGGUCUGAGAGGACGGCCAGCCACAAGGGCACUGAGACACGGGCCCUACUCCUACGGGAGGCAGCAGCGAGGAAUCUUGGUCAAUGGGGGCAACCCUGAACCAGCGACGCCGCGUGGAGGACGAAGGCUUUCGGGUCGUAAACUCCUUUUGUCGGGGACGAGUAGAAGACGGUACCCGGCGAAUAAGCCACGGCUAACUACGUGCCAGCAGCCGCGGUAAUACGUAGGUGGCGAGCGUUGUCCGGAUUUACUGGGCGUAAAGCGCGCGUAGGCGGCCUGUUAAGUUCUGUGUGAAAGGUUUCGGCUCAACCGGGACAGUGCAUGGGAUACUGGCGGGCUUGAGGGCAGCAGAGGUCGGUGGAAUUCCCGGUGGAGUGGUGAAAUGCGUAGAGAUCGGGAGGAACACCAGUGGCGAAGGCGGCCGACUGGGCUGUGCCUGACGCUGAGGCGCGAAAGCGUGGGGAGCGAACCGGAUUAGAUACCCGGGUAGUCCACGCCCUAAACGGUGGUGACUAGGUGUGGGGGGUAUCGACCCCCUCCGUGCCGCAGCUAACGCGAUAAGUCACCCGCCUGGGGACUACGGCCGCAAGGUUAAAACUCAAAGGAAUUGACGGGGGCCCGCACAAGCAGCGGAGCGUGUGGUUUAAUUCGAUGCAACGCGCAGAACCUUACCGGGGUUUGACAUGUGCAGGAAAGCCUCAGAGAUGGGGUCCUCCUUCGGGACCUGUGCACAGGUGCUGCAUGGCUGUCGUCAGCUCGUGCCGUGAGGUGUUGGGUUAAGUCCCGCAACGAGCGCAACCCUCGUCGCUAGUUGUAUGUUUCUAGCGAGACUGCUGCGCAAAACGCAGAGGAAGGUGGGGAUGACGUCAAGUCAUCAUGGCCUUUAUGCCCCGGGCUACACACACGCUACAAUGGGCGGUACAGACGGUUGCGAAGCCGCGAGGUGAAGCCAAUCCGACAAAGCCGUCCUCAGUACAGAUUGCAGGCUGCAACUCGCCUGCAUGAAGACGGAGUUGCUAGUAACCGCAGGUCAGCACACUGCGGUGAAUACGUUCCCGGGCCUUGUACACACCGCCCGUCACGUCAUGAAAGCCGGCAACACCUGAAGUCGCUGGGCUGACUCUUUUCUUCGGAACGGAGAGCCAGGCGCCGAGGGUGGGGCGGGUAAUUGGGACGAAGUCGUAACAAGGUA